AACUAGAGCCCCUGGAAGUUGGAGGCAAUAUUUUGGGUAGAAUUCAAUUUUCCUGACUGUAUACAGUGCUGCAUUUACUGACCCAUUUGGUCUAUGUAGAUUUAUACUAUUUUAUCACUUAUUCUAAGGAAAGCUGCCUCUCCCAAAGAGAAUAAUUUCAAUUUCUGCUGCAUCAAUAAGGUUUUGUUUUGCAAGACGUAGAAAACCAAUUCAAAUGGGUUUAAACAAUACGGAGGAUUUGCUGGCUGAUGAAACUGGGAAUUCUGGAUGGAGAAUGGGCUACUGCAGGCUUGACUCAGUUGCUCGAGAAGUGUUACCAAAGACCCAGCUCCUCUGCCUGCCACUUGGCCAUUGUUUAUACUCAUGUGGAACACCCCUUAAGGUUCUUUUUGGCUUGGGGUGGUAGAGUGGAGAAAUGAAAUCCUUCUCAAAUUUCUGCUGGCCUUGGGGAUUAAAGAAGCAGAGCAUAUGUUGUUGUUAGCUGCCAUCAAGUUGGUCCCCAACUAGUGGUGACUCCAUGCACAAUGGAAAGAAAUGCUGCCUGUUCCUGCAUCACCUCCAUGAUGGGUUGUGGAUCAGAACGUUGUGAUCCAUAGUGUUUUCCUUGUUAAUUUUCAGAAGUAGAUCACCAGACCUUUCUUCCUCCACUAAAACCCGUUCAGCAUCAUAACAACAUGGAAGACUCCACCGACAGAUGGGUGGUGGCUGUGCAUGAGACUCAUUGGCCAAGGAUUGAACUCGGGUCUCCUGCAUGGAAGGCAAAAUCUUAUCACUGAACCACCACUGCCCCACAGAGCAUAGUUAAGAAUGACUAACAUGUGUCCUGGUUUGGGGCAUGGCAAACACAGUGAAAUUAGGCAAGUGAAUUGAAUAUUUGGUGUACAAGGGCCUAGUAGGUUUUCCUAACUGGAGUCUAAAGAGAAGAUGGAAAGUAAGUGGUAGAAUGUAAGUGUGGUUGGACAGGUGGAGGCCUCUGGGUGGCCCCUGACAAAUAACCCAAAGUGUGACAGUUUGAACUAGCCCAACAGCACUGUGGAAGGAAGACCUGGUGAUUUGCUUCUAUAAAAGAUUACAGCCAAGAAAAUCCUAGGAAGCAGUUCUACUCUGUAACACACAGGGUUGCCAUGAGUCAAAACCGACUCUAAGUCAACUGGUUUGGUCUCAGGUUUUGGGACAGGUAAAACCAAAAAAAAAAAAAAAACACUCUGCUGUCGAGUCGACUUUGACUCAUAGCAACCCUACCGGACAGAGUAGAACUGCCCCGUAGGGUUUCCGAGGAGUACCUGGUGAAUUCAAACUGCCUACCUUUUGGAUAGCAGUCGUAGCUCUUAACCACUGUGCCACCAGGGUUUCUAUUCGGACAGGUAGGGAAGGACCAGAUCCUAAAGAACUUAGUAAUACCUGAAGGAGUCAGCUUUUAACUCCAAGAUGAAUGGGACGUUACUGAAGAAGUUUGAGCAAGGGAGUGAUAGGACCAGACUUGGCCAUUAGAAAAAUUACUUGGGCAGCUUUGUGGAGAGAGGUAGAUUCAAAAGCAGGGAGAAAAGCAAGGAAUUUAAUACAAUCAGCCAGAUGUAGUGCAGUGACGGUAGGUAUGGAAAAGCGGGGAAGAGUAAGAGAGCUUUUAGGAUAAAAUGAACCCACUGGAAGAAUCCCUGGACCAACAGAUGGUUAAGCACUCAACUACUAGCCGAAAGGAUGGCAGCCUGAACCCACCCAGAGGCAUCUCUGGAGAUAGGCUUCCGAAAGGUUACAGCCUUGAAAACCCUAUGGAAGAAUUCUGCUCUGUACACAUGGGGUCGCCAUGAGUCAGAAUCGACAAUAACAACAACCCACUGGAUAUAGGGAAAAAUGAAGCAAACAGAAUGCCUUCUGAGUUUCUGUUUUGGUAGCUGGGUGCGUGGUGGUGCCAUAAGCCUUGAUGUAUAAAUAAACGUAUUCCCAUGUCUUUGCUUUUGAGAGUGCACAAGUGGGAGUGUGGGAUGCAUUGUGUAUUUUCCCAGUCAUGCUGGAUGAGGACAACUGUAGUAGAGGUAAUAACUCCCAGAGAGUAUCCCAGCUGCUCAAAUCAGGGUGGGGUCUACACCAGGGUUUGUAACCAGAUUACACUCAUAGAUCCAACUGUCUCUAAGGAGAAUUGUAGGGUGCUGGUCUGAUACAGGAGCCCUGGUGGCGCAGUGGUUAAGCGCUCAGCUGUAAACCAAAAGGUCGGUAGUUCGAAUCCACCAGGUACUCCUUGGAAACCCUAUGGGGCAGUUCUAUUCUGUCCUAUAGGAUCUCUAUAAGUUGGAAUUGGCUCAGUGGCAACGGGUUUGGGUUGGUAUGGUCUUUGGUCUGAUAGAAUUCAGAUGCAGCCCACAGAAUGGUCCUCUCUCUACUCUCCUCUGGCUGCUUUUGCUAAUGGAACAUACUAUAAGCUUCAAAGCCACUGUCAGCCCUGAAAGGAAAAUAUUGCCUCUCUUUUGCUUUUGUAAAAAGACUGGCAGAAGAAUUCACAGUAUGCAAAUACUGCAGGCCUUCUAGCAGUGAGGGGACAUGAGGGGGCAAUGCAGAGCCCUGUGUCCGUUGGUGACCCUGCCAGGCCUCACAAAGAGCAUACACCAAGCCGCCGGGAGUUGGCGGGGACAACGAGAAUUGAAAGAAGCCUUGUCAUUGUUGUGGCCGUGGGAACAUAUGCCAGACCCAUUGUUCUAGCCCCUGUGAAAGGGCUCCCAGCACUGCUCCCCUGGAUGCGUCCUGUGUUAAAUUGGUGACAGUAGUAGCUGCAGGUCCAGCCUGCAAGUGACCAGCAGAAGGUGGCUGUCCAGAGACAGCAGUGUGGGCAAUUACGGCCUUGCAGGGCACCGUCUCCUUUGGCAGAGAGGAAAACGGAACAUACGAUUUAAUCAAGAUUAGUUCUUUCUUUCUGAAAUGCCUUGAGAUUAUGAUAAUACGAGUGUAAAUGGAAGUGGCGGUGUUGUUCUCAUGCACGAUCCAGGAAGCCUUUGAAAACUGCAGCCUGAAUGAGCUGCUUCUCAGCUGCAUGAGUCAGGAGAAGCUUCCAGUGUGAUGCCUGACCCACGGACUUGGGAUUUGCCAGCCUCUACAACUCUGAAGCAAGGAAGGAAGGAAGGAAGGAAGGACGGACACACACUUUGGAACCAGGCAGAACUGGGUUCAAAUCCUCACUGCAGCAUAUACUGACUGUGGGAUCAGAAUGUAAGAAUACCUUCUUUGUUGGAUUGUUAUUAAACAUUAGCAAUAAUGUGAGGAAAAUACUUAACAUAGUGCUAGGCACAUAGCAAGUAUGUGAUGAAUGGUAACGAUUUAUUAUUACUAUUUUGUAGCCAGAAAUUUUAUUAAGGCUAAAAAUCUCUGAGUAACAAAGCACCCACGAGUUUCAAACAGCCAUCUGUUUUAAGCAACAUUCGUACUAUAAAAUUUAGCUCAGUAAAAUGAUUGGAAUCCCCUCUUAAAACUCAACAUAAUGAGAUUUUGCCUGCACCAGAGAAAAGUCAUUAAUGACCUAAUUGUCAAAUGGAAUGGCCUGUUUUCAGUCAUCUUCUUAUUUAUCCUCUCUGUGGCAUGAGAUGUACUGACUCUUGUUGUCUUCAUUCAUUCAUUUUGAGUCCUCGACAGUGCUCUCUCCUGGUUCUUUUAGACUCCUUUCCUGUUGUUGGGAUUUUGAAGGGGCCUUUUCUUCACUUCCUGAUCUCAUCUUUUGUGAAGACUUCCCUUAAAUUCUCCAGGCAAAGUCAACACAGUUCACCCAAACUUAUUCAGUACUCAGUAUAUCCUAUCAAGAGAAGGAAUGUUAUCACUCAGAGAGAAGACAGAGAGUGAAGAGUGAACUGAAGACAAAUCUCCUGAUUUUAAGUUAACAACUUAAAAGAAAACACCAAGAGGCAAAGAGAGGCAAUGGCAUCAAGGACCUGAGGGGACAGAUUGGUCUUGAAUAGAAGAGGCACCUUCAUCCAUUCAGUCUAGACAGGGCCAGAUAGGAUAGGGCGAGUAGAGACUGUUUAGCAGGUAUUGGGGUCAAAAGUUCGAGGAAAUUCAUCUUAACAUUUUCUUGGUGAAGAAGGAGGCAUUGUUUUCUGCUAUACAUUAAGCAGGAGUCAACAAACUUUUUCUGUAAAGGCCAGAGAGCCAGUACUUUAGGCUUUGGGGGCAAUAUGGUUCCUGUCACAACUACUCAAGCAGUCAUAGACAUUACUCUAAGUGAAUGAACACAGCUGUGUUUCUAUAAAACUUUAUUUAUAAAUAGGCCACAUUUGGCCUGCGAGCCAUAGUUUGCUGACCCUUGCAUCGAGUCUUUCAAUUGCAUCAAAUUGAAUUGCAUUGAAUUGGGUUGAGGUUGGGCUGAAGGUUCGAAGGGAAUAUCGGACUAGUCUUUGUGGGGAAAGGGGAUGGGUGAGUGCUGCUUAGAGAACAAGAAAGAAGACACAAGUGCAGCUAGGGGUUCACUAGUGUGAACUGAUGUUUUGGCUGUGGCUCCGCUUGCAUUGCUUUGUGGGUCUCUCACAAUUUUGAGUUGCUCCUUCUUCUGAGAUUCCAGAGCAUUGCCUGCAUUUCUGGCUGAACACAGAAGUCUCUCCCAUAAAAUUGUGGACGAUUUUAGGGCAAAGCCUUUGCUUUAUUUAUUUGGUAAAAGCCUGACUCCCCUCAGUUUUCAGCUGAAGAUCAUGUUCUUUAGCAAUAGACAUAUGCCUCUCUGUCACUGUAACAAAACAAGGGCCUUCUCCUGGACCUGGGCCACAAUUGCCAGGCCUGUCUCACUUCAUGCUGAAUCCACCCAGGCCUGUUUCUUCCUGUGAGGACUGGUGACUAAUGUAGUGGCUGUUAGCAGGUCAGAGAAGCUGAAGUCAUGCAGCAAUUAUGGCACCACACACACGCACUGUUUUAUCUGUUCUCCCCACCCCACCCCCAUCUUCCUGUCUUUGGAACAAAAAAAUUCUCUGACUUCACAUGGCCAACACAGCUGUCCAACUGGCCGAAAACACAGACGUGAAUGAAGUCAGUGAAAGGAUGAGUCACUGCACAACAGUGUCAUUUAGAUGCACCUCCCCCCUUCCCAACUCCUCCGGAUUUGGGGUUUACUGCUUGGGAAGUAGCACUUUGCCACAUCUACAAAGGCAAUGUGAAGGAAGAGCCUUUUGGGGGGAGUAGUAGCUCACUUGGCAAAUUGGUUGUUUAUUCCUGGUCCACCUAGUUAAGUAAUAUUAUUUGGAUCUAAUGAGGAGAUAGUAGGGUUUAAGGCGCACAGAAAGAUUACAGCCUAGGAAACCCUAUGGGGCAGUUCUACUCUGCCAUAUAGUGUUGAUGUAAGUGGGAAUUGACUUGACCACACACAACAGCAGAGACAGAGAACUCAGUGACUUGGUGGUGUUUUGCAUACUUUCUAGAAAAGAGACGCAAGCAUGCAAUUCAAGGCCCAAAUCCAUACAAUUUAGUUAUCGCCUAAUAAUAUUUCCUGGGCCAUGAAUCAUGAUGUAGAGUGAACGUAUUACUGGAAAAACUAGUAGGAACCAAGACGAAUGUUAUUCCUUGGCACUAUUGUUCAUGCCAAUUCAUGAAAAAUCAUGAAAGUGCCAAUAGCAGGGCCAAUGGCACUCCUGAGAAUCUAACUUGAGGCUAGUAGUUUUUAUGUCUUUAAUUGGAUCAGUGUAGGCAUGGAUCAGGUCCCUGAGUGGCAGGAAUUGUUUGUGCUUGACUGCUAACUGAAAGGUUGGUGAUUCGAACCUGCCUAGCAGCACUGUGGGAGAAAAGACCUGGUAAUCUGCUCCCGUUAAUGAUUACAGCCUAGUUAAGCCUAUGUGGCAGUUCUACUGUCUUAUAGGGUCACUAUGAGUUGGAAUUGACUCAACGGCACACAACAACAACAACUAACCAAAAGUUUGGUGGUUCAAAUCCACCUAGCAGCACUGCAGAAGAAAAGCCUGGCAAUUUGUUUCUAUAAAGAUUACAGCCAAGGAAACCCUAUGGGGCAGUUCUACUCUGUAACACAUGGGAUCAUUGUGUCGGAACCGACUUGACAGGAAUAGGUUUGGUUUUUUUUUCUUUUUUGGCAUGGAUUAAGAAUCUAUGAAACCAGAUCAGUGAUAAUAAUAUUAUCAGUGACAUUAUGCACAAUUUAUUUACUAGCCGAGAUCUCUGCCUUUUGUGAUGAAUUCCUUUGCUUUGUGUCUUGAGGAUGAUACCAUGCAGAAUAUGGAAAGAUCAGAUUGGUUGAAAUUUGUCCUACUUCUCACAUUGCUCUUGUUUUCUGCUCUUUUACGUCUGUGGUCAAGCCUUGUAUCUCUCUCUUUCAAAGUUCUCUUUCCUCUGCAUUGGAACCUGCCUCCUGGGGGAUGAACUUGGAUUUUCAGAGUGAGGAGAAGAGAGAGAGACAACACUGAAGCUGAAGGAGCAGCUGCUGUCCACAUCACUGCCAAGGCCUGGCAGCGGGUUCCUGGGGAAGCAGUAGACACCUGGUUCACACAGGACCAGCACAGCCGGGUCCAGCUUUUGAUGGGCAGAGCAUUGCUUCCUUCGUCACCAAAGUGACUGGCCCUGUGAUCUUGCUACAGCCUGCUGAAACCAAGAGGGACAUCCUGCAGCCGGGAUGCCUCAGAGGAGCAGGUGCAAGUCAUAUUUCACUAAUGAACAAUGGGCAUUUUGCACACACAGAGGCUUUGAUCUGAGAGCUGAAAAGCCCCUCUGUUGGGCAGGAUGUUGGCGGAGGCAGAUAGUAGUAAGAAGCAUUGGGAAGGAUUCUUUUCCAAGAAAGUCUGUGGAAAAGGUAUCAUCAAAUAAUUGCAGAGUCAAACCCUCCCAUUCUCAAGAACUUCUUGGGAGAAAGCGAUGUAUUUGCGGGAACAAAAUAUUCAUCAAACCGUAGACCCUCAUACUGGCAGGUGUAGCCCAAACCUCCAUCUCUACCCUUAACCCCUACCACAUCAGUGCUACCUGUUUGCCGAGCCUGUGCUUAAAUAUUUCUGAUAAACAUAAAGACCAGUUGCCAUUGAGUUGAGUCUGACUCAUGGUGACCCCACGAGUGUCAGAAUAGAACCGUGCUCCAUAGGGUGUCCAAUGACUGAUGUUUCAGAAGUAGACAGCCAGACCUUUCUUCUGAGGUGCCUCUGGGUGGACUCCAACCUCCAAUCUUUCAGUUAGCACCAAGUGCGUUAACACUUUGCACCACCCAGGGACUCCUCUGGUAAACAUAAAAAAAAAAAAAACAAAAAAAACUUGUAAACAUAGAAUCCAGUAAUUCUUUUGGUUCAUUAAUCAACUGAUUCCACCUUUGGAUUGUUCCCAAAAUGAAAAUAAAAUCUUCUGUAUUAAAUUUAAAUAUGUCUUCUACCCACUGAUUUCAGUUUUGCCCUUUGGGAUUAUGUUAUAGACUGAAUUAUGUCUCCCCUAAAGAUAUGUUGUAGUCUUUAAUCCCUGUCCCUGUGAAUGUGAUUGCCUUUGGAAAUAGGUCUUUUUCUCUGAAGAUGUUAUCAGUUAAGUUAAAGAGGUCAUGCCAGAGUAGGGUAGGUCCUAGUUGCUUCCCAGUGGUGUCCUAUAAAAGGGGAGGACAGACAUGGAGACAGAGUGACACAGGGAGAAGAAAAAUGCCAUGUGAAGCUACAUCUGAAAGUUAAGAAAUGACCAGGGCUACCAGCAACUGGAAGGGACAAGGAAGGAUCUUCCCCAAGAGUGGACAGAGAGAGCAUGACCCUGUCAAUGCCCUGAAUGUGGGCUUCUAGCCUCAAGAACUGUGAGUCAAUAACUUUCUGUUCUUUGAAGCCACCCAUGUUGCCGUACUUGGUUAUGGCAGCCCGAGGAACUAAGACAGGGCUAGACAGGACAAUUCUACUUGAGGAGGAGUGCGUCCAUGGGAGAUGCUUCCAAGUAUUUGAAGACCACUUUCAUGUCUUCCAGGAAAUAUUAAUAGGACAUCUUUGUAAUAAGUUGCCGUCUUCAUGUACUAAAUGGUACCUUGUCCUCACAGUGAACUCAAAGGCUCUGUGCCAACCUAUUGUCUCUCUCCCUAAAGAAUUAUCAGAAUCACAGGCUUUUUGUGAUGGAAAAGACCUUAGAGACGUCUUAUCUAAGCCCUCAGUUCACAGAUAAGGCAACGGAGGCUCAUGGAGGCCAAGCUACACAGGUAGUUCAAAGCUGCGGCAAGAGUCUCUGACCACCAGUCUGGUGCUGUGCUCCUGUAUCAUAUUGCAGGAGUCACUGGGAUUCUGCACUAGGCAAGGUGCAAAUUCUCCAUCCUAUCCUUGAAGAGCCCAAGACUUCCCUCAUCUCCCCUCC
Long non-coding RNA from Loxodonta africana (African savanna elephant), 8265 nucleotides. RefSeq lists it as uncharacterized. The transcript is spliced from 3 exons. The record is from RefSeq and is a predicted model, not a curated record. Lineage: Eukaryota; Metazoa; Chordata; Mammalia; Proboscidea; Elephantidae.